UAGCCCUUCAGAGGGGGACGAACAGUUGGAAACGAACUGCUAAUACCGCAUACGAUCUAAUCUCGGCAUCGAGGAUAGAUGAAAGGUGGCCUCUACAUGUAAGCUAUCACUGAAGGAGGGGGAUUGCGUCUGAUUAGCUAGUUGGAGGGGUAACGGCCCACCAAGGCGAUGAUCAGUAGCCGGUCUGAGAGGAUGAACGGCCACAUUGGGACUGAGACACGGCCCAGACUCCUACGGGAGGCAGCAUG
This 248-nucleotide ribosomal RNA is filed under the name uncultured bacterium. Its description in RNAcentral is "partial 16S ribosomal RNA". It matches the Rfam family "Bacterial small subunit ribosomal RNA", at positions 126 to 353 of the family's 1533-position model. The record is from RNAcentral.